UAAAAUCUGUUCUAAUUUCACUUGUCAAUGUUUAAGGAACUCUUUUGGUCCAGAAUCCAUUACUGUUGUCAAAGAAGCAUGUAAAUUAUAAGCAAAGGACAUCUUACCACGUGCACUUAAAGCAAGUGUCUUCUUAUGAUCUGCACUACACUGAUGUGUUUCACAGCUUACGUUCCUGCAACAACUCCGGUAGCACUGCGUCACUUUACGGCCAGGUACUUGAGCUCAGCUUGGUAACAGAUGAGAGGAUUCUGUUUACUGGUGCACAAUGAAGCAUUACUGAUUUUGCAGGAUGAUGGUUUCCAAGCAGCUGGCUAGGAAGAGAAAGUCCCAAUGAUGAAAUCUGAACUGGUUUACUACCAGUCUGCUGGCUGCGCAUCACACACCAAAUGCAAGGUGCGCACACGCACAGUGCACACCAAAAGGAAGCAUGGGGUGAAUUUUCAGAGGGCUUUUUUUAGCUGAAUUUUGUACAAUCCUGUCGAAGGCGACGAAGUUCCAAGUUUUCUAGACCCAGGAUAUCAAGUCUGGUGGAAUAAGGGAUGAAAAACUGAAAAGACAAUGGGGGAUGGAUGUGAUCCUGGACCACCGACUUCCCACUUCUGCAAUGGGAGAAGAGCAGGCCAUCAGCUGAAGAUCACUGCUGGGCUGAACCUUGUGGCUGGGAUGCUGGGAAUUGUAGCACACAGGAAAAAGCUGCUUCAGUGUCUAAUGCAUGUUCACGUGUACAGCAUCCGUCUGUAAUGCAUUGUAUGUGCCAACAAUCUGGAUAUGUCUGCCUUCAGAUUUCUAUCCUUAUUAAAUUUGUACAAGCUAGAAACAGACAC
This is a long non-coding RNA of Ahaetulla prasina, 827 nucleotides long. RefSeq lists it as uncharacterized. NCBI's taxonomy places the organism in Eukaryota, Metazoa, Chordata, Lepidosauria, Squamata, Colubridae. The record is from RefSeq and is a predicted model, not a curated record. The transcript is spliced from 4 exons.